RNAcentral lists this ribosomal RNA (95 nucleotides) under uncultured bacterium. Its description in RNAcentral is "partial 16S ribosomal RNA". It matches the Rfam family "Bacterial small subunit ribosomal RNA", at positions 1388 to 1482 of the family's 1533-position model. The record is from RNAcentral.
CACCGCCCGUCACAUCAUGAAAGCCGUUUGUACCCGAAGUCCACGUGCUAACCGCAAGGAGGCAGUGGCCGAAGGUAUGGAUGGUGAUUGGGAUG